GGAAGGGAAGCUCAGGUGGUAGAGCGCGUGCUUAGCAUGCACAAGGUCCUGGGUUCAAUCCCUAGUACCUCCU
This 73-nucleotide transfer RNA is filed under the name Camelus bactrianus (Bactrian camel). It matches the Rfam family "tRNA". From Rfam's summary of the family: Transfer RNA (tRNA) molecules are approximately 80 nucleotides in length. Their secondary structure includes four short double-helical elements and three loops (D, anti-codon, and T loops). The record is from Rfam by way of RNAcentral. RNAcentral also lists the same sequence under 2 other names. Lineage: Eukaryota; Metazoa; Chordata; Mammalia; Artiodactyla; Camelidae.